Small nuclear RNA from Macaca fascicularis (crab-eating macaque), 164 nucleotides. Its record names the gene U1. It matches the Rfam family "U1 spliceosomal RNA". From Rfam's summary of the family: U1 is a small nuclear RNA (snRNA) component of the spliceosome (involved in pre-mRNA splicing). NCBI's taxonomy places the organism in Eukaryota, Metazoa, Chordata, Mammalia, Primates, Cercopithecidae. The record is from Ensembl.
AUACUUACCUGGCAGGGGAGAUACCAUGAUCACGAAGGUAAUUUUCCCAGGGCGAGGCUUAUCCAUUGCACUCCGGAUGUGCUGACCCCUGCGAUUUCCCCAAAUGUGGGAAACUCGACUGCAUAAUUUGUGGUAGUGGGGGACUGCGUUCGCGCUUUCCCCUG